Molecule: non-coding RNA, 4717 nt
Organism: Phoenix dactylifera (date palm)
Lineage: Eukaryota; Viridiplantae; Streptophyta; Magnoliopsida; Arecales; Arecaceae
Source: RefSeq, a predicted model, not a curated record
UUUUCAACUUAAGAUCUUGGCAUAAAACAUGUUUAUGUGGAGGAAAUAAGAUUACAAGACAAAAAAUGCUAUUUCUUCAUGCAUUGUAGAAUGAGGGCUGUGGUUUGCAUGAAACUUUUUUUAUGCAUGCUCAUGUAUUAUGGUUUUUAAGGUUGGGUAUUUUGAUAUCUUGGUUGGUACUCGGCAUGAAUCAUGAAUUUUGGUUAUUGAACCUCUUGUUCAAAAUGCUCUGGUAGGAUUACGGGUGGAUAUGGAUGAAAUAUCAUCCUUAGAACCAUUAUAUUGCCCUCUGACUUCAUUGAACUUUAUUUACCCUGGCCCACUGAGACACAAAAAAAUUCUUACAUAGUAAGUGUUAACCAUUACCAGCAUUACAUGGUAAGUUAAUGUACUGCUUUGGUAAGUACUUUCUAUUGACUAGUUAAAAUGAUAUGACGAUGAUGCAAUUGACAUAAAAAUGAAGGAUUAAUGUAGUAAUCUGACAGAAUUGAACUUUCCUAGAAAUCUGUUUUCUUAUGUCACAUAUAAUUUCCUGAGAACUUUGUAUGAGAAAGAUGUAUUAUUCACGUUACACUUGAGAAAUGUGUAGAACAGGUCUUUGGAAACACACAAAUAAUGCUCAAAGUUAGGGAAAGCUGCAGAGAAACCUGAUCAAAAAUUGAUAAAAUUGUUUCUUUCAGUAGUUCCUAGUUUCAUAGGAAAUGCAUAUGACAAAUAGAUCUCAUUCACUUUCCACUUGGGGAAAUGAGGAGAAAAAGUCUUAUGAACCAUACAAAAAAUGCUCAAAGUUUAAGGGUAAGCAGCAGAGAACUUUUUCAAAUAUUGAUUUUCUUUUGGCAGCUCCUAGUUUCCUAUGAGCUUUCUCUAUGCUAAAAAAUAGCUUCCUGUUUCUCACUUUGGUGUCCUAUUCGAGAUUCUAUUCCCUUUUAUGUUCACAUAGCAAACUACAGCUUAGACAACGAAGUGGAUAGUCAAAAUAUUCCUAAAAUGAUUUAUUAUCACAAAAUCGCACAACCCACUCGACCAGAUUGAAUCAUUUAAAGCAAAUGGUAUGAGCAGUAUAAUUGAAAGUGAGUGGUUGGACUAUUGUAUAUUUUAUCAUAUAUUUAGGGCUGCAAAUGGGCCAGGUCAUAACUUGACCUGGUCCCGACCUGUCUAGGCCUGAUUUGACCCUUUUUUUUGGGACCCACAGGUAGGGUCUAGGACACAGAUACAAUUGUUUGAAUAAUUAGAUUGGGCCUUGGUCAUAUGUUUUCCUAUUCGACUUGUAUACUAAUUAAGUCUAUCAACAGGUCAAAUAUUAGAUGGCACUAUCCGGCCUGGUCUAGUUUGAUUCUGCUCAACCCAAAAAUGCAUAAUUUUAGAAUCCUUUGAACCUUAUAUGAGUAUCCAAUUUCCAUGUCGAGGUUUGUUGGCUGUGUAUCAAGGCUUUCUUUGCGUAUGUUGAAGACUUGAUAAGUGCGAACCAAGUUAUUGUCUGUUACAGUAGUAAUAGCAAUCCAUUUUAACACCCUUUUCCAAUUCUUUUUUCCUUUUAUCUAUGAUAUUAUUUUUCUUCUAAAUGCAAAUAAAUACUUUAUUAUUUUAUCGUACAAUGGACUUGAACCUAGGCCAGAUUUAACCCAGUCACUAAUGCACGGGGUUGGUUUUGGGUCUGAAAUCGUGAUCGAAGAUAAAAUAAGGUUGGGUUCGGGUCAUGCUUGCCUCGUUGGUCGUUGCUGACCAGUUUGUUACAGGCCCACAAAUCAAUGUCAUGAGGAAAUCGGAUGGUAUACUAAUGGACAGGUUGUUUUAGGUGAGGCUUAAGGCAGCCAAUGUUGGAGAGUAAGGUGGUGGCAUUUUGAUUUAUCUGUCUACCAUAUUUGAUGGCAAAAGCUUACAUACCUGAACUCUCCUUUUGCGAUUGGACUUCUCUAUCUAGCUAUACUUCUUUAUUGAAGGGGCAUGUGUAGAGUGACAAUGUAAUUAAAAGGGCAUCUAAUAGAGCCCUAAGACAACUAAAAUAGCGAAAGAAAAAGGUCUUCAGAGCUUAUGUUACCUCCACUUAACUAGGAAAGAGAGGGUGAGUCUACCUCCACCUAUCUCUCCACUUUUACUAUGAUUUCUUUUUCCUUGAAACAAAUCAUGUGCAUAACAUGUGCUAAAUGUUGGUAGGUGAGUGACAUAAUAGUGAGGCCUCCCAAUGCCUAAGCGCUAGGUGAGCACCCAAAGGUCAAGGAUAUUAACCUUGGAAGAAGUAAGGAUUUACACCUAUAGCUGAUGUCUUUUCAAAUGCCCAUCAUUUCGUUGUUGAAAGUUGUUGCAGUAGUAGCAAUAACUGCCUAUAGCCAUGGCGGCAGUAGCAACAACCCAUUGCAAUGCAUCUCCUAGUUGCCAAUAGAAAAAAAAGGGGAAAAGGGAGAGAAAAAAUUCUUACUGCGACCACUAGUUGCCAGUGCAAAGCUUGCACUCGCUCUUCUUUCCUCCUCGUCCUCUUUCUUCAAGGGACAAUAGACCAGGGUGGGAUGGUGGAUUUUGCGGUUUAAGUUAACAGAUCAGGUACUCGGUCAUUGAAACUCAACAUGAUAAAGCCAACUUGACACACCUGUGCUUUCUAGGCCCCAUAGGAACCUCUUCUAGGCUGAGGGGACUGCUUUGAUGCCCUUUUAAGCGCCUAGGCCACUUAGCCCUAGGCAAAAUGCUUUGGGAUAUGCCUUGCCGGAGUAUGCACCUAGGUAGUUAACAAAAGGACUCCUAAAUUUGAGCAUAACUUACGAGUUGUCCCUGCCUGCAUAUCUUGCAAAGACAUAUCAUCCAUGCCCAAAUUUGUGUACCAUUGAUUUCAUAUAUUUUAUACAAGUAUAGCAAGUAGAUGGUCAAAUUCUACUCUCAAACCUCACAUUUAGGAGUAGAAUGAUAAUUUAGACUUAAUGUAUGUCCAAAAUCACUCUUUCACUCACUUCAUUAUGUUUAAUUAUUUAUUUGAUGCCUCUAUAACACUCUUAGGCUUCUUCUAUGUUAUUUACAGCCUUUUGUGUCUCUACUUUGCAUUUGUAAGGGAAAACUUCAAUCUUUUCUCUAAAGACUCGUUUGGUUCGUGGGAAAAAUUUUACCUCACUGGAAUGUUUUUCUUAGGAAGUUGAUGCCUGGGUAUAUGAUACCUAGAAAAGUGGUUUUUUCAUAUUUGGUUGACCAUAGAAAAGUGAAACAAGAAACACACUUUUCAGAGUGACUUAUGUUUGGUUGAACAUCUACUUUUCUGAAAAAAUAGUUGUGUAAAAUACUUGUUAUGCCCUUAAUAAAGGGUCUACAAGGAAAAAUUGUCACACGCAUAAUUUUUAGAAUCAGAUACUUGGAACACCUAGUUCUAGAGGUUUUGAAGGUUCAACACCAAAAAGAUAAGAAUAUAUUUUUAAUAGCUGUUUUUCUAUAUUUUUAACUAUUAAAAUUACCACAAUUCAUAAUAUAUUUUUAGUAGCUAUGUUUAAAUAUUUUUAAAUACUUAAAAAUAGCUAUUAAAAUCUUUAUUGGGUUGAGUUUUUAGUUAAUAGUUAGACAAUUUCUUUAUAUUGUGAUAAUUUUAAAUAGUUAUUAAUAUAUUUUUAUAUUAAUAUUACCACAACUUCUCUAUAUUGUGGUAAUUUUUAUUGUAUAUUUUUAAUAGUUUAAGAUUAUGUAUUAAAAAUAGCUAUUAAGAAGAUCAUGAUAGCUUAAGGGCAUUUUUGAAAAAAAAACAUAAUUUUAAUGUCGUGGGAAAGUGGCUUUCUUAUGUCCCACACAGGUUUUUUUUCUAUAAAAUGAGGAAAACUUAUUUCCAUGGGAAAGCUAAUUUCCCAUCUCUUUGCUUUAUUCCCCCCAUUGCCUCGCCCCGCUCGCGCGUCUUCUUGUGAAACAAAUGAGUCCUAAAUAUAGAGUUGUUUUUUUCAUCAUAGUAAGGGGAUGGACUGUUUCUACUAGGAAAGGAUGUAUGUAUCAAUUAAGAAAUGAGAAAUAAUCAAUUUUCCAAACAAAAGACUUGGUUCUUCAAGACAUUUUAAAACCCAACUCAACCUAGUUUGUACAUUUGUCGUGAUUGGCAAUCUUUUCUGUGACUGUAUUUCAUCUGUUUGAUACAAUUGAUGCCUUGAUUGUUUUUUGACCAUGGUUUGAAGCAAGGUCCGCCGAACCGGUACGGGCCGGUCCAGUCUGGAACCGGUACCGAAUCAGCGUGGAAUCUAGUACCAGUAGCUUAUCGUUGGAGAACCGGUACGGAACCGGCGUGGAAUCUGGAACCGGUACGGGAUCGGACCGGAUCGGUAUCGUACCGGUCCGGGCCGCUACCAUUACGCUGAUUAGUACUAGUACGGUGGACCUUGGUUUGAAGUUUCAUUAAAUUUUCUACACUGAACUCUAUAGUUCUGGUCUUGGUCAAAUCCAAUCCUUAACUGAAGCCAGUUUUGAUCUAAACAGGUGGAACCAAGCUAUAUGUUGGCUCUAUAUCUUAUUUGUUUGCAUUUCUUCUUUUAUUUUUAGAUGUUGAGAAAUGUUACUCUAUACCAACUUUAAUUUUGCGAGUUUUGAGAACAUUUGGGACUGUGUGAUAUCAGAUAUCAAGGAUAUUCAUAGGAAAAAUGUAAAUUUUUGACAUAGGUAUGGUUAUCCUCUAAUCAAAACUGUGGAUGUUUCUGUUUGUUAUAUUUUAGGCUUGGUUGUAUUACAAUAAUAUUAUAUGAAGAUGUACAUUAUGGAUUUUUUCUUC